CACAUGCAAGUCGAACGGAGCUGAGAGGAGCUUGCUUUUCUUAGCUUAGUGGCGAACGGGUGAGUAACGCGUGAGUAACCUGCCCUGGAGUGGGGGACAACAGUUGGAAACGACUGCUAAUACCGCAUAAGCCCACGGCCCGGCAUCGGGCUGAGGGAAAAGGAUUUAUUCGCUUCAGGAUGGACUCGCGUCCAAUUAGCUAGUUGGUGAGGUAACGGCCCACCAAGGCGACGAUUGGUAGCCGGACUGAGAGGUUGAACGGCCACAUUGGGACUGAGACACGGUCCAGACUCCUACGGGAGGCAGCAGUGGGGGAUAUUGCACAAUGGGGGAAACCCUGAUGCAGCGACGCCGCGUGGAGGAAGAAGGUUUUCGGAUUGUAAACUCCUGUCGUUAGGGACGAUAAUGACGGUACCUAACAAGAAAGCACCGGCUAACUACGUGCCAGCAGCCGCGGUAAAACGUAGGGUGCAAGCGUUGUCCGGAAUUACUGGGUGUAAAGGGAGCGCAGGCGGACCGGCAAGUUGGAAGUGAAAACUAUGGGCUCAACCCAUAAAUUGCUUUCAAAACUGCUGGCCUUGAGUAGUGCAGAGGUAGGUGGAAUUCCCGGUGUAGCGGUGGAAUGCGUAGAUAUCGGGAGGAACACCAGUGGCGAAGGCGACCUACUGGGCACCAACUGACGCUGAGGCUCGAAAGCAUGGGUAGCAAACAGGAUUAGAUACCCUGGUAGUCCAUGCCGUAAACGAUGAUUACUAGGUGUUGGAGGAUUGACCCCUUCAGUGCCGCAGUUAACACAAUAAGUAAUCCACCUGGGGAGUACGACCGCAAGGUUGAAACUCA
This 840-nucleotide ribosomal RNA is filed under the name uncultured bacterium. RNAcentral describes it as "bacterial SSU rRNA". It matches the Rfam family "Bacterial small subunit ribosomal RNA", at positions 52 to 903 of the family's 1533-position model. The record is from RNAcentral.